RNAcentral lists this ribosomal RNA (492 nucleotides) under uncultured bacterium. RNAcentral describes it as "partial 16S ribosomal RNA". It matches the Rfam family "Bacterial small subunit ribosomal RNA", at positions 29 to 507 of the family's 1533-position model. The record is from RNAcentral.
AGUGAACGCUGGCGGUAGGCCUAACACAUGCAAGUCGAACGGCAGCACAGUAAGAGCUUGCUCUUACGGGUGGCGAGUGGCGGGCGGGUGAGGAAUACAUCGGUAUCUACUUUUUCUUGGGUGAUAACGUAGGGACACUUACGCUAAUAGCGCAUACGACCUACGGGUGAAAGCAUGGGAUCUUCCGACCUUGCGCGAUUGAAUGAGCCAAUGUCGGAUUAGCUAGUUGGCGGGGUAAAGGCCCACCAAGGCGACGAUCCGUAGCUGGUCUGAGAGGAUGAUCAGUCACACUGGAACUGAGACACGGUCCAGACUCCUACGGGAGGCAGCAGUGGGGAAUAUUGGACAAAGGGCGCAAGCCUGAUCCAGCCAUGCCGCGUGGGUGAAGAAGGCCUUCGGGUUGUAAAGCACUUUUGUUGGGAAAGAAAAGCAGCAGGUUAAUACCCCGCUGUUCUGACGGUACCAAAAGAAUAAGCACCGGCUAACUUCGUG